This 922-nucleotide ribosomal RNA is filed under the name uncultured bacterium. RNAcentral describes it as "bacterial SSU rRNA". It matches the Rfam family "Bacterial small subunit ribosomal RNA", at positions 10 to 922 of the family's 1533-position model. The record is from RNAcentral.
AGUUUGAUCCUGGCUCAGGAUGAACGCUAGCUACAGGCUUAACACAUGCAAGUCGAGGGGAAACGACAUCGAAAGCUUGCUUUUGAUGGGCGUCGACCGGCGCACGGGUGAGUAACGCGUAUCCAACCUGCCCACCACUUGGGGAUAACCUUGCGAAAGUAAGACUAAUACCCAAUGACGUCUCUAGAAGACAUCUGAAAGGGAUUAAAGAUUUAUCGGUGAUGGAUGGGGAUGCGUCUGAUUAGCUUGUUGGCGGGGUAACGGCCCACCAAGGCUACGAUCAGUAGGGGUUCUGAGAGGAAGGUCCCCCACAUUGGAACUGAGACACGGUCCAAACUCCUACGGGAGGCAGCAGUGAGGAAUAUUGGUCAAUGGACGAGAGUCUGAACCAGCCAAGUAGCGUGCAGGAUGACGGCCCUAUGGGUUGUAAACUGCUUUUAUAAGGGAAUAAAGUGAGUCUCGUGAGACUUUUUGCAUGUACCUUAUGAAUAAGGACCGGCUAAUUCCGUGCCAGCAGCCGCGGUAAUACGGAAGGUCCGGGCGUUAUCCGGAUUUAUUGGGUUUAAAGGGAGCGUAGGCCGGAGAUUAAGCGUGUUGUGAAAUGUAGAUGCUCAACAUCUGCACUGCAGCGCGAACUGGUUUCCUUGAGUACGCACAAAGUGGGCGGAAUUCGUGGUGUAGCGGUGAAAUGCUUAGAUAUCACGAAGAACUCCGAUUGCGAAGGCAGCUCACUGGAGCGCAACUGACGCUGAAGCUCGAAAGUGCGGGUAUCGAACAGGAUUAGAUACCCUGGUAGUCCGCACGGUAAACGAUGGAUGCCCGCUGUUGGUCUGAAUAGGUCAGCGGCCAAGCGAAAGCAUUAAGCAUCCCACCUGGGGAGUACGCCGGCAACGGUGAAACUCAAAGGAAUUGACGGAAGGGC